CGUACACUGUAGAAGGUCAUUGGUGAUGGGAGGUGGUGGUCUUCAGCAGCAGUAGGUAGGUCUGUGGGGAGAGGUUUCAGGCCUCGCUGGAGAUGCCCUCUCGGCUCAGUCCCUCCGUCCAGAGAGAGCACAACACACAGUCAGUCACACACAGCUGGGAGGGGAGAGCAUUUCCACAUAAAACAACACUUACAUAUUUAGAGGAUUUGGAGUGAGGAGAAGGGUAAUGGAAUCACUAUGACACGCAAACACACUGCAUUUUUCCGCUUCAGAUUUACACCCAAAUCUGAAUUCUAAGCUAGUUAAUAAAACCAAUUAGCAAUGAACACAUUGUGGUGUGUGGUAACUAAAUAUUAAUUUGGGAAAAGAGAGUUAAAGACAUGCUCAUUUACAGUCCAUCUAGACUAAAACAAACACACACACACACACACACACACAACUCUAGCUACAGCUCAGUGUGACAGUGUCAUAGCCGGGGGGACAAUAUUAAACCUUGGAAACAGAGCGGGAGCACGUUUGCAACUUAUUUUUAGUGUCGCCAACUCGAGCAGAUCUGCUGUAACAGGGACCUUUUUCAGGGAGAAUGAAGGACAAGCACAGGAAUGGUAUGGGUGCAUGCGUGUCAAGGGAGAGAUGGUGGAUUGUCAAGGGAGAGGUGAAAAAGUGUGGGUGCAGGUUAGGGUUGAAUGGCGGGAACCUGGUUACCAAGAUUAACCACCCAAAACCACUCCCUUUUCCUGGGUUAAAUAACUGCGAAAAACCAGAAAAUUAUAAAAAAAAUUAAUUAACAGCAUGACGUUAUACUGUUAAUAUGCAAUAUCUAAACCUGGCUUCUCUACGGCCUUCUCUCUGCAUGAUCAAUCAUAAAUGCUCAUGGUGUGGACAGACCAUCUCGAUAUGUAUGCAGUUCACACUGCAUGUAGACCCAUCAUGGUAACUUUUUUUUUUUACUUGUGACAGGUAUGCUUACAUUUGCUGCAGCAUAGAAUACUGCUACAGUAAUAUAAGAACCGAAUGCACCUCUAAUUUACACAUCUCCAUCUGGCUUUCGGGGGUCAGCGGAUUUUUGAAUUGUAAAGAUUUUUUUUAUUGCAGCUGCAGUUUUAAAAACAGCCCAUCACUCGAAUAUUGUUGCUUUAAAUCAGAGCAUGCGCGAGCAGACUCCCAUCAAUUCCCUUCAAAUUGCAUGAAAAUAGAUAAUCCUGUUCAAGACAUCCUAGCCUACCUCUUUCAGGUAAUACAUUCAAUUCAGCAUUAGCAUUACAUUUAGCUAAUGAAUAAUAAGCUUCUAACUUAUAGCCUCUGUCUCUUUUGCAAUACGCAUGUGCCUGUGCUCCGCUGGCCUCUCGUUAAAAAACGCUCCUUAGGUCUUGGAGUCCCAGGCAGGAAAAGCUAGACUAGAAUAGCUUGCUGGACAUUUUAUAUUUUUAAAAUGUUUUAUACGAAUAGACUAUUUGAAGAUGGACGCAAGCUUGUUUGCUGAAUGUUAAAUACAACAGUCAACAGAACUGAUGUUUAGUUUGAAAGAAGAGCGAACGCACGAUUGCGGAGGGCUGUAGCAGUUUAGUCAGACUCAUAACCAUUCAGAUCUUCGUGAAGGGAAAGCCAUCUGCAUCUAAUUCUAGUCCUAUAUUAUUCAAGCAUGUCAUUAGAAUGAUGAACAUAAAGACAACGAAAAUCAUUUAAUUUAGCUUAACUGUUGAAAGCGAGGAAGGAAUGAAGCAACAGGAGGUAAGAGAAAGGGGUAGGCUAAUAACAUCAGGGCAAAUAUUAAUAAAAGGUACAGUGCCUUCAGAAAGUAUUCAGACCCCUUGACUUUUUCCACAUUUUGUUUACAGCCUCAUUCUAAAAUUGCUGUGCACUUCUUUUUCCUGCAUCACAAGUGAAUGUAGGACUCACCCUAGGGUUGGGCGGUGUCAUGACACUAGCCCGUUCAGGGAAUUGGCUAGCAGAGAUGGGAACAAACCCCCCUCUCCUGUUAGGAGAGGUUUAUGUGUGUGUGUGUGUGUGUGUGUGUGUGUGUGUGUGUGUGUGUGUGUGUG
RNAcentral lists this long non-coding RNA (2042 nucleotides) under Salmo salar (Atlantic salmon). Its description in RNAcentral is "lncRNA (ENSSSAG00000089339.1)". The record is from RNAcentral. Lineage: Eukaryota; Metazoa; Chordata; Actinopteri; Salmoniformes; Salmonidae.